CUUUCAGGCAGCGAGCGCAGAGGCGGCUGGGGAGGCAGGAGGCACUGCGUGAGGAGAUUGCAGAUAAGUUUUUCUCUUAAAAAGAGAUAGACAGGAAUUGAUACAGUUCUUUAGGAAACGUAAAAUAGUGCUAGUGCUUAUUGAGAUACUGCUGAGCAUGAAACUUAGAGUAAUUUAAUCUUAAAAAGAUCUGUAAGGGAAAAGAUGAAGACUUCUAGGAUGAGAAAGAGGAAAGAUCUUUCUAGAACAAGACGGAGGUUAAGAGACGAAGCUUCAUGCAGUGAAAAAACUUAGGCUUUAAAAAUUGAGGCCAGAACUGCCAAGCCCGGGAUUCAAAAAAUCCUUAAAUUGAAGGGCAGCCGUGUAGAUUGACGUUAAAAUGUAAGCGACCUAAACAGGGCCUAAAUGCUAUUUUAAAAAGACGAGUUGUAGACGAUUAAAAAAAUUUUUAAGUUUAUUCUAAAAAGAUUUAAGUUGAAGGUGCCUUAAGAGAUAGGCCUUCAAAUUCAUGGCGCAGGGAGGAUUGCAUCAUUUGAAACUUAGUUCUUAAAAUGACAAAUACUAAUUGGAAGUAGUAGGAUAAAAAUUUGGAGAGCUUAGAAAAUUGAAGUGGAGAACUCAGAAGACAGAAGUACAGGAAGGUGAAGACUUAAAGACAGAAGUACAGGAAGGUGAAGAAAAGACUUAGAGAAGAUAGGAAAACUGGAAGAAAAAUUACGGCUUUUAGAAGACAGAAAAUUAAAAGUCCAAAGGGAGGAAGCAGAAGAAAAGGUGUGUUUAGACAAACUAGAAAACCAAGGCAACUAAGGUCUCAGAUUACAAGUUCAGGAGAAAACCAGAAGUUGGAAACGAGGUGGAAGAUACCUUCAGGGAAAGUAUUUCAGGUAGAAUACGAAAAGCUAGGACAACUAUUGAGCACAAGCUUAGAAGAUAGACGUCAAAAAGAAGAUAGAAAAGGUUAAAGCCAAAAACAAAAAAUUGGAUUAAGUACAAGAACAGGAAAACUAAGGAGGAAAUUAAUAUUUAUUAGAAUUUCUUAUAAACGCCCAUGAAGUUACUUUCUGGUGAUGCAGAAGCUAGAUUUGAGAAGAUGAGGGUGUUAAAACAACUAUAGACCGGCGCCAACUUAGAAGAAUUAUUCAGAAGCUAGAAGGGGAAUCAGUUUAAAAUUACAGCGUUUCAUGGCCUUGGUACUAAAAAGACUUGAAAUUACUUAAGAACCAAGGUAGCAUAUUUUUGGAGAGCUAAAAAUUUCAAAGUCUUUAAAUGCAGUAGCUUAGUGUCUUUUGGAAAAUUUAAAGAACUUUCAUAACUGAAGUAAUUCAAGAUCAAGAAUAACUUCCAACUUAACAUUUCUGCAUUGGACUUUGGGCUAAGAUGAUUUUAAAUCCUGAGGACUAGCGUAAUUGGCAGCUGACCCAGGUGCUACGCAGAAGUGGAUUCAGUGAACCUAGGAAGACAGGAGCAGCAGACAGGAUUCCAGGAACCAGUGUUUGGUGAAGCUAGGACUGAGGAGCCAGCUGCAGUUCGUGGUGAAGAUAGGAAGGAAGGAAGGAGAAGUCCAGGAGCCAGUGCGGUUUGGUGAAGGAAGCUAGGAAGAAAGAAGGAGCCCUAACGAUUUGGAGGUGAAGCUAGGAGAGAGGAUUCCAGGAAGGAGGAGGAGCCAGUGCGAUGUGGUGAUGAAGCUAGCGAGCGGCUUGGCGGCUGUGGCUCGGUGACCACGAGGAGGCGGCGAGCAGGCGGUGUGGAGGAUAGAUAGAGGAUCCUAGAGCAGCAAGCAUCCCAGUGUGCAAGGCCGCAGGGAGAGCGAGCGAGCGAGUGGUGUGGUAAAAAUCCGUGAGGUCGGCUAAUGUGUUUUUGUAACUGGAGUAUGGUAACCUUUAUUUGUUUUCCCAAUGGUAACGGGGGAGUUGUGUAUCUAAGCGCCAAGGGAUUUGACGGGGUGUAGGCCGAUUCCGGGUGUUGUAGGUUUCUCUUUUUCAGGCUUGUUUUCUCAUGCAUCUUGUCUGAAGCUUUUUGAGGGCAGACUUCCAAGGCCUGGAGGAAUGGUAGAUGGCAAGUUUUUUUUGUUUAUAACCAAUUUGAUUUGAACCAAAUGAAUUUGAUAGAACAACUUUGAGACAAGAUUUUGGCAAGUUUUCUAAGAAGUUUUUAUUUUUAGCUUGGGGUAAUGAAGCAUUUCAGUUUGUGAAUAGAUGACCUAUUUUUCUUCCCUCACCCUGUAUUAAAGUUAUGUAAAUGUGGAGUUUGGGUGUGUAACUCUGGGGGGGGAAGUUUUCUUGUGGGGAUGGGGGGGGCAAAAUAUGUUUUGAGUUCUUUUCCCCUUAGGUCUGUCUAGACUCCCAAAGGCAAAUGACUCAAGGUAACAGAAAAAAAGAAAAUCCAGUAUCAGGAUAAUCAGAACACCACAGGUUUACAGUUUCUAGAAACUAGAGCACGAGCAGCUCUCACUUUUGAGUUCUGUGGCGGAGCUGUCCAUUGGAGAAAUGGCUGGUAGUUACUCUUUUUUUCCACCCCUUUGUCAGCUUUUUAAUACAUAACCCUUUAAAUUUGUCAUAUUUACUUAUUUUGGGGUGGUCUUAACAGGGAAGAGGGUGGGGGAGAAAAUUUUCUUUCUAAGAUUUUCCACAGAUGCUAUAGUACUAUUGACAAACUGGGUUAGAGAAGGAUUGUACUGCUAUGCUGUUGGCACGAACACCUUCAGGGAUUGGAGCUGCUUUUUUCCUUGGAAGAGUAUUCCCAGUUGAAGCUGGAGUGGUACAGCACAGUGCAGCUUUGGUUCAUGUUCAGUCCUCUCAGGAGCACUUCAGAAGAGCUUGACUAGGCCAAAUGUUGAAGUUAAGUUUUCAAGUAACGUGACCUUUAAAAUCACUUUUAUUAAAGGGGAGGGCAAAUUUUGGCAAUUGGUAGUUGGCAGUGGCCUGUUAAUGGUUGGGAUUUGGGAGGGUUGGGGUUAGGUAAUUGUUUAGUUUAUGAUUUCAGAUAAUUCAUGCCAGAGAACUUAAAUACUUAGGAUGGAAAAACUAAAGAAAUCUCAACUUCCAAGUUGGCAAGUAACUCCCGAUCCUCUAGUUUUUGUUUUCCCCCAAUGUUUGAAUUGGGCAGCUGGGGAAGUUCAUGAAGAUCCAUUGGAUUCACAGUGUAGGGCUUGGGGAAGGAAAGUACAGGACUGGGGGUUGGUCUAGCCCACUGGCUGACUUAGAAACUUUGGGAACUUUGAAAAAUGACUUAAAGUUGUUUGGAUAUGGUAGUGUGUGGUUCUCUUUUGGAAUUUUUUUCAGGUGAUUUAAUAUAACUUAAUACUACUGUAGGAGCUUCAGAGCAAAGGAAGUGGCUUAAUGAUCCUGAAGGGAUUUCUUCUGAUGGUAGCUUUUAUAUUCUCAAGUAAGAUUCUAUUUUCAGUUGUGUAUAAGCAAGUUUUUUUCUUAGUGUAGGAAAAGUAUUUUUCUUUUGUAUGACUGCAAACAAGAUGCUAAGGUAUGCUUCAAAAUUGCUGUAAAUUGUGUAUUUUAAUCAUAACUGAUACAGAGGGUGGGUCUUUGUGGAUGAGGGAGGGGAAACCUUUUUUUUCUGUAGACUUUUUUCAGAUAACUUCUUCUGAGUCAUAACCAGCCUGGCAAUAUGAUGGCCUAGAUGGAGAGGGAACAGCUCCUUGGUGAAUGAUAAGUAAAGGCAGAAAAGAUUCUAUUUCAUACCUCCAUUGGGGAAAAAGCAUAACCUUGAGAUCCUUACUACUGAUGAACGCAUGGUCUGCAUAUGCAAAAAAAAAAAAAAAUUAACCAAAUGAAACUACCAAUUUAAAGUUAAUGGAAACUACCAUUUAAAAGUUCUGGCCUAUCAAGCUAUACCCACACACAAAAAUGAAUUGAUGAGAAAUAAUAUAAUGAAUUGAUGAGAAAUGCAACGAAGAUCAAGUGUCCAUCUCAAAAUGCUGCUUUUACAAAAGCAGAAUAAAGAAAUGAAAUGAAAAUAAUACUACAUUAAUCGUGGAAUAAAAGAAGCUGAAAUAAUUCAGAGUGGGAUCAAGUGGAUUGAGAGGAGGAGGCUGUGCUGUUUGCCAAUCUUUCGUUUGCCUCAGACAGGUUUCUCUUCAUUAUCAGAAGAGUUGCUUCAUUUCAUCUGGGAGCAGAAAACAGCAGGCAGCUGUUAACAGAUAAGUUUAACUUGCACCUGCAGUAUUGCAUGUUAGGGAUAAGUGCUUAUUUUAAAUAAGGGCUGUGGAUGUCUUGAGUAUUGAACAUGGCCGUUUUUCCUGAUCCCUUCCCUAGGGGAUUCCAGGAUUGUGAGGAAUUUUCCCAUCUAGCCUUUGUAAAGUUAGACAGGACUUGUACCUGUGGGCUUCCAUGAUGGGAUCGCACACCUCACUCAGGCAAGUAAUUCCUAAAAGCCUUGAGGGUGGUGCCUUUAUAUAAUAAGGCGGCGUUUUAUAAAACUAAGAAAACUUGUUUAGCAUUGAAUCGCUUAAAUCCUACAAAAGGAUAGCAUAAUGUGUUAAGAAUCGGAUGCUGUUAAUCUUGCUAAAAUUUAAUUGUGUUGUGAUGUACGUUGUGCAGAAAACAUAAAAUCGUUCAAAAUAAAACCAUUUUAAUAUAGAGAAUGUAUGCUUUUAGAAAGCUGUCUCCUCAUUUAAAUAAAGUAUUGUUUGUUUGUAGUUAGUGUUGGGCAAUCUUGGGGGGAUUCUUCUCUAAUCUUUCAGAAACUUUGUCUGCGAAACACACUUUAAUGGACAAGAUCAGGAAUUGAGCGGAAGAACGAAUUUAACUUUAAGGCAGGAAAAACAUUUUAUCCUUCGUAAAGUGAUGAGCAUUUAAUAAUUCCAGGCACAUGGCAAUAGAGGCCCUCUAAAUAAGGAAUAAAUACCUCUUAGACAGGUGGGAGAGUAUGAUCAGAAUAACAGGUAACUACACCAACACUGUUUCUAGAAAGUCAGGGGUCUAUAAAUUGACAGUGGUAGAGUAAUACAAUACUGUCCAGAUUCCAGAGUUUGCAUGUUAACUUUUAAAUGCUUAUAAUCAUCUCAUCUGGUGUUAGCCAACAUUUAUACAACUGGCCUUUCAUAUAGGUAUGGGGGGGGGCAUGUGGGUUUUUAAAGAAUUUUCCUUUGCAGAGGCUUCAUUUCAUCCUUCAUGAAGCUGUUCAGGAUUUUGACUUGCAUAUAAGCGCUUGGCUCUGCCUUCUGUUCUCCUAGUGAGUGUGUGAGACCUUGCAGUGUAUCCGCAUAAUACUCAAGUAAAUUUUUUUUCCCCUGUUUUGGAGGGAAGGGAGGAGGGGGUGGGGCUUACUUGUUUUAGCUUUUUUUUUUACAGACCACACAGAGAAUGCAGUUGUCUUGACCUCAGGUCUGUCUGUUCUGUUGGCAAGUAAUGCAGUACUGUUCUGAUCUGCUGCUAUUAGAAUGCAUUGUGAAACGACUGGAGUAUGAUUAAAAGUUGUGUUCCCCCCCAAUGCUUGGAGUAGUGAUUGUUGAAGGAAAAUCCAGCUGAGUGAUAAAGGCUGAGUGUUGAGGAAAUUUCUGCAGCUUUAAGCAUUCGUGUUUGUGAUUGAAGUCAAGUACCUUUUGCUGUGCUUCUUUAGGUAAAAUGCUUUUUGUUCACUUCUGGUAGGGGGCGGUGGGGAGGGCACUGAAGCCUUUAGUCUUUUCCAGAUGCAACCUUAAAAUCAGUGACAAGAAAUAAAUUCCAAACAAGCAACAGUCUUCAAGAAAUGUAACUGGCAAGUGGAAAUGUUUAUCAGUUCAGUGGUCUUAGUGCAUUGUCUUUGUGUGGGUUUCUCUCUCCCCUCCCUUGGUCUUAAUUCUUAUACGCAGGAACAUUCAAAACAGCAGACGUAUGCGAAGGGCCAGAGAAGCCAGACCAGUAAGGAAAAAAAAAUAGCUUAUUUACUUUAAAUAAACAUUCCAUUUAAAAUGUGGGGAUUGGGAACCACUAGUUCUUUCAGAUGGUAUUCUUCAGACAUGUAGAAGGAGCUUCCAGUUGAAUUCACCAGUGGACAAAAUGAGGACAACAGGUGAACAAGCUUUUUUCUAUAUUUACGUAACAAGUCGGAUCCAUGAUGAGUAAAUAAUUUAGUGUUAAAUAGUUUCAGCUUUAUGCUGGAAUGAAUAGCAUGUGAGCAAGCUGUUUGUUGGCCUGGGGGUGGAGGGGUGAGGUGGGCGCUAAGCCUUUUUUUAAGAUUUUUCAGGUAUCCUUCCCUAAAGGCACCGAAGGCUUAAAGUAGGACAACCAUGGAGCCUUCCUGUGGCAAGAGAGACAACAAUGCGCUCUUAUACUAAGGUCAAUAAAAACGGUGUCGGCCUCAUAACCCCAUCUUCUGUUAGAAACGAGGACUCGCCUCCACGCCCUUGGCAGACAUGCACUGAGGCUCUUUUUGGAGAAUGGAGCAUCUAAAGGAAUGCUUUGAGUACCUUGUAUACUCUUGGGCCUGUCUGACCUUUGAUUGUGCUGCUUUUACAGCAGCUCUUUAAAAAGCCCAAACGUCCAGUGACGGUUGAAGGGGAGGGAAAGGGGAAAGCGGGCAACCACUUUUCCCUAGCUUUUCCAGAAGCCUGUUAAAAAGCAAGGUCUCCCCACAAGUGACUUCUCUGCCACAUCGCCACUCCCUGCCUUUGGCCUAGCGCAGACCCUUCACCCCUCACCUCGAUGCCGCCAGUAGCUUGGAUCCUUCAGGCCAUGAUCCGUAAUCGGUUUCAAGGUAACAGUGGUGCUGAGCUGUUCCUUCCGGUGGGUUGCACUACUAGAAGAGGCCAUUAAUUUGCCUGCAAAUAGUUAACGUUAUUAAAACCACAACUAAAAGCUCAAAGAUAAUUUUAAAUCUAUAACCCCAUUAUCCAGUGAUUAAAACACUUAAACCAGUGAAUGGAGAAUAAUGUUUUAAGACUGUCAUGUUGGGUGGGAGAAUCUACCUUGUAAACUGAAGAAGCAUCGGCGUUUUAGUCUCGAGGACUGUUGGGUGGGAUUGCAAAAAUUCUCUGCUAAGACUUUUUCAGGUGAACAUAACAGACUUGGCCAAGCUAGCAUCUUAGCUGAAGCAGAUUCUCCAGUGUUCUUCAGUAGGGUUGUAAAGGUUUUUCUUUUCCUGAGAAAACAAGUUUUGUUUUCUCAGGUUUUGCUUUUUGGCCUUUUCCUAGCUUAAAAAAAAAAAAGCAAAAGAUGCUGGUGGUUGGCACUCCUGGUUUCCAGGACAGGGUUCAAAUCCCUGCGGCGUCUUUGCUUGACUCUGACCUCUGUCUUCAGAACUCUUUCCGUUUUCCUUCUCUCUAGUUCUAGGCUUUUGGGGUUGGGGAAGGUGGGAGAGACUUUGUUAAAUUCGUCAGAAACCAAAAUCAGUUCGUGUUUAUGUGGGAUCCUUGUGAUAACUUGUCUCUGAUUUUCAGGUAGUCCCCGUGCAUCUAGUACAUGAAGAA
This 7402-nucleotide long non-coding RNA is filed under the name Lynx pardinus (Iberian lynx). Lineage: Eukaryota; Metazoa; Chordata; Mammalia; Carnivora; Felidae. The record is from RNAcentral.